GAUGAACGCUGGCGGCGUGUCUAAGGCAUGCAAGUCGAACGGACUGUUAUUUGUAGCAAUACUUAGAACAGUUAGUGGCAAACGGGUGCGUAACACAUUGGUAACCUGCCUCAAAGUCAGGCAUAAUCCCGCGAAAGUGGGACUAAUUCCACGAUAGUCAUCGAAGGUGAGAUUCCUUCGAUGUAAAGUCGCAAGACGCUUUGAGAGGGGCCUAUGGCCUAUCAGCUUGUUGGUGAGGUAACGGCUCACCAAGGCUAUGACGGGUAGGGGGUGUGAGAGCACGACCCCCCUCACUGGGACUGAGACACUGCCCAGACACCUACGGGUGGCUGCAGUCGAGAAUAUUCCCCAAUGGCCGAAAGGCUGAGGGAGCGACGCCGCGUGCAGGAAUAAGG
This 395-nucleotide ribosomal RNA is filed under the name uncultured bacterium. RNAcentral's name for it is "bacterial SSU rRNA". It matches the Rfam family "Bacterial small subunit ribosomal RNA", at positions 28 to 414 of the family's 1533-position model. The record is from RNAcentral.